This 911-nucleotide long non-coding RNA is filed under the name Equus caballus (horse). RNAcentral's name for it is "lncRNA (ENSECAG00000057992.1)". The record is from RNAcentral. Lineage: Eukaryota; Metazoa; Chordata; Mammalia; Perissodactyla; Equidae.
CCUGUCUCACUAGAGGUUCUCAGCCAAUUCAGGCUGAAUUACAUGGGACCCAUACCUCUCCCCUGAAGGCCCUGCUGAGACCUUCCCUGUCCAGUGAACUUCGCCCUCCCCUUCCACGCUGGUCACCGUGAUUGACACAUAACAAAAGAGGAUGGUAAACAAAUUUAUGGAGCACCUCUGAUGUGCCAGACAGUUACACCGUUAACUCACAACAGUGCUGUGAAGUGGGUAUCAGCUCCAUUUGACAGAUGAGAACACUGAGUCUCAGAGAGGUGAAGUCAGGUGACGCACACUGGGAUGGGCCCCCGUUGGCCAGGACGCUGUCUUCCCUGAGUUCUGCCUACUCCCUGCCUAGCAGUUGAAGCCAGGACUUAAGUCAGACACUGCCUAGUGUGAACACUGGUUUGACCCUCAGUGUUUAAAAACAAUCUGACGUGAAAGACCUCAAUGGCGCCCACAGGGGUCUGUGUCAGCACACCUGGACCAGGCCAGAGCAAUGGCCCCCACCAGCGUCUCAGUCUCCGGAGAGGUCCUUCCUCUCACCAGGAUGCCCCCAGAGCCCACCAGCCUUGAACACAGAUGAGAUGCCUGGAACGCUGUCUUGCAACCAUGAGGUGACUUUCUUGAGGGCAAGAGGCCAACAUUCUUACUAGAAUGGUGAAGUGGAAGGUGGAAGGAGCCUAGAUCCUCGAAGACACCAUUGGGCCACCACACCAGUUCCAGAACACCACUUCCCAGCCUCGUGUUAAAUGAGAAAAACAACCUCCGUCUAUUUAAGCCAGAUUUCCUGUGAACUGUGGACGAAAGCAUUUCUCCCUGAUACACCCAUUGCUGUUAAGGGCAAAUGAGUAUAUAUGGGAUUGUGCUUUGGAAGCUGGGAACCAACAGAAACAUUUCAGGUGACAUUUGCU